GGGGGAUAUUGCGCAAUGGGGGCAACCCUGACGCAGCAACGCCGCGUGAAGGAUGAAGGUUUUCGGAUUGUAAACUUCUUUUAUUAAGGACGAAAAUUGACGGUACUUAAUGAAUAAGCUCCGGCUAACUACGUGCCAGCAGCCGCGGUAAUACGUAGGGAGCAAGCGUUGUCCGGAUUUACUGGGUGUAAAGGGUGCGUAGGCGGCUUUGCAAGUCAGAUGUGAAAUCUAUGGGCUCAACCCAUAAACUGCAUUUGAAACUGUAGAGCUUGAGUGAAGUAGAGGCAGGCGGAAUUCCCCGUGUAGCGGUGAAAUGCGUAGAGAUGGGGAGGAACACCAGUGGCGAAGGCGGCCUGCUGGGCUUUAACUGACGCUGAGGCACGAAAGCGUGGGUAGCAAACAGGAUUAGAUACCCUGGUAGUCCACGCUGUAAACGAUGAUUACUAGGUGUGGGGGGUCUGACCCCUUCCGUGCCGGAGUUAACACAAUAAGUAAUCCACCUGGGGAGUACGGCCGCAAGGUUGAAACUCAAAGGAAUUGACGGGGGCCCGCACAAGCAGUGGAGUAUGUGGUUUAAUUCGAAGCAACGCGAAGAACCUUACCAGGUCUUGACAUCCAACUAACGAAGUAGAGAUACAUUAGGUGCCUUUCGGGGAAAGUUGAGACAGGUGGUGCAUGGUUGUCGUCAGCUCGUGUCGUGAGAUGUUGGGUUAAGUCCCGCAACGAGCGCAACCCUUGCUAUUAGUUGCUACGCAAGAGCACUCUAAUAGGACUGCCGUUGACAAAACGGAGGAAGGUGGGGACGACGUCAAAUCAUCAUGCCCCUUAUGACCUGGGCUACACACGUACUACAAUGGAUGUUAACAGAGGGAAGCAAGACAGUGAUGUGGAGCAAACCCCUAAAAACAUUCUCAGUUCAGAUUGCAGGCUGCAACCCGCCUGCACGAAGUUGGAAUUGCUAGUAAUCGCGGAUCAGAAUGCCGCGGUGAAUACGUUCCCG
Molecule: ribosomal RNA, 1000 nt
Filed under: uncultured bacterium
Lineage: Bacteria
Description: bacterial SSU rRNA
Rfam family: Bacterial small subunit ribosomal RNA
Source: RNAcentral